GUCGAAGUGGCGGAAUUGGCAGACGCGCCAGCUUGAGGGGCUGGUGUCCUUAGGGACGUGGGGGUUCAAGUCCCCCCUUCGACA
Molecule: transfer RNA, 84 nt
Filed under: bacterium
Lineage: Bacteria
Also listed under: 2 other names
Description: tRNA-Leu
Rfam family: tRNA
About the family: Transfer RNA (tRNA) molecules are approximately 80 nucleotides in length. Their secondary structure includes four short double-helical elements and three loops (D, anti-codon, and T loops). Further hydrogen bonds mediate the characteristic L-shaped molecular structure. tRNAs have two regions of fundamental functional importance: the anti-codon, which is responsible for specific mRNA codon recognition, and the 3' end, to which the tRNAs corresponding amino acid is attached (by aminoacyl-tRNA synthetases). tRNAs cope with the degeneracy of the genetic code in two manners: having more than one tRNA (with a specific anti-codon) for a particular amino acid; and 'wobble' base-pairing, i.e. permitting non-standard base-pairing at the 3rd anti-codon position.
Source: RNAcentral